UUGACGGGGCCGCACAAGCGGUGGAGCAUGUGGUUUAAUUCGACGCAACGCGAAGAACCUUACCAGGGCUUGACAUCCCCUGACCGCGUAUGAAAGUACGUUUUCACCCUCGGGUGACAGGGAGACAGGUGGUGCAUGGUUGUCGUCAGCUCGUGUCGUGAGAUGUUGGGUUAAGUCCCGCAACGAGCGCAACCCCUAUUGUUAGUUGCCAUCAUUCAGUUGGGCACUCUAGCGAGACUGCCGGUAAUAAACCGGAGGAAGGUGGGGAUGACGUCAAAUCAUCAUGCCCCUUAUGACCUGGGCUACACACGUGCUACAAUGGUUGGUACAACGAGUUGCGAGUCGGUGACGGCGAGCUAAUCUCUUAAAGCCAAUCUCAGUUCGGAUUGUAGGCUGCAACUCGCCUACAUGGAAGUCGGAAUCGCUAGUAAUCGCGGAUCAGCACGCCGCGGUGAAUACGUUCCCGGGCCUU
This 472-nucleotide ribosomal RNA is filed under the name uncultured Streptococcus sp. RNAcentral's name for it is "bacterial SSU rRNA". It matches the Rfam family "Bacterial small subunit ribosomal RNA", at positions 910 to 1382 of the family's 1533-position model. Lineage: Bacteria; Bacillati; Bacillota; Bacilli; Lactobacillales; Streptococcaceae. The record is from RNAcentral.